UCACCUACGGGGGGCAGCAGUCGGGAAUUUUGGGCAAUGGGCGAAAGCCUGACCCAGCAACGCCGCGUGAAGGAUGAAGUUUUUCGGAAUGUAAACUUCGUAAGAAUAGGAAGAAUAAAUGACGGUACUAUUUGUAAGGUCCGGCUAACUACGUGCCAGCAGCCGCGGUAAUACGUAGGGACCAAGCGUUGUUCGGAUUUACUGGGCGUAAAGGGCGCGUAGGCGGCAAUUCAAGUCAGCUGUGAAAUCUCCGGGCUUAACUCGGAACGGUCAGCUGAUACUGUUUUGCUAGAGUGUAGAAGGGGCAAUCGGAAUUCUUGGUGUAGCGGUGAAAUGCGUAGAUAUCAAGAGGAACACCAGAGGUGAAGACGGGUUGCUGGGCUGACACUGACGCUGAGGCGCGAAAGCUAGGGUAGCAAACGGGAUUAGAUACCCCGGUAGUC
This 443-nucleotide ribosomal RNA is filed under the name uncultured bacterium. RNAcentral's name for it is "bacterial SSU rRNA". It matches the Rfam family "Bacterial small subunit ribosomal RNA", at positions 335 to 795 of the family's 1533-position model. The record is from RNAcentral.